UACGUAGGGUGCGAGCGUUGUCCGGAAUUAUUGGGCGUAAAGAGCUUGUAGGUGGCUCGUCGCGUCGGGAGUGAAAACCCGCGGCUUAACCGCGGGCCUGCUUUCGAUACGGGCGGGCUAGAGUUCGGCAGGGGAGACUGGAAUUCCUGGUGUAGCGGUGGAAUGCGCAGAUAUCAGGAGGAACACCGGUGGCGAAGGCGGGUCUCUGGGCCGUUACUGACGCUGAGGAGCGAAAGCGUGGGGAGCGAACAGG
Molecule: ribosomal RNA, 253 nt
Filed under: uncultured bacterium
Lineage: Bacteria
Description: partial 16S ribosomal RNA
Rfam family: Bacterial small subunit ribosomal RNA
Source: RNAcentral